Molecule: long non-coding RNA, 367 nt
Organism: Trachemys scripta elegans
Lineage: Eukaryota; Metazoa; Chordata; Testudines; Emydidae
Exons: 3
Source: RefSeq, a predicted model, not a curated record
UUUGGUGCAGCUGUUUUGAAUAAAACGUUUUCUUUGGAUACUAUUUGCUGCUGCAGUCGUGUCAGAUGAGCCUCAAUCUCUUUAUCAGACUGUAGGUCCUAAGCAGAAGACAAAAAAAGUCAUAAAAGGGGAUUACUUGCCAAUAGAAUCAGCAGACUCCCGGACAAGAGGAUCCUAUACAAACUGGUUCACCACAGAUGAAAAUAUAUCAUGGUCCCUUACAUCAGGACACGGGAGGAGGUCAAGAAGAACACCUCUAGUAUCACAUGCGAGGCAUCCAGCCACCAGGAUAACAGAGGUGGCCAUGGACCAGCCUGUGGUAUCUGCCACAUCCAAUGAAGCCUGAAAAGCUGACUCUGUUACCAGC